RNAcentral lists this ribosomal RNA (310 nucleotides) under uncultured bacterium. Its description in RNAcentral is "bacterial SSU rRNA". It matches the Rfam family "Bacterial small subunit ribosomal RNA", at positions 28 to 334 of the family's 1533-position model. The record is from RNAcentral.
GACGAACGCUGGCGGCGUGCUUAACACAUGCAAGUCUAUUUGAAGUUGGAAGCUUGCUUCCGGCGGGGAUGGCGAACGGGUGAGUAACGCGUAGACAAUCUGCCCUUCAAUCUGGGACAACCCUGUGAAAACGGGACUAAGACCGGAUGGUAUCUUUAGCUCGCAUGAGCUUUAGAUUAAAGACCUUGAGUCGUUGAAGGAUGAGUCUGCGUGGCAUUAGUUAGUUGGUAAGGUAAUGGCUUACCAAGGCGAUGAUGCCUAGCUGGUCUGAGAGGAUGAUCAGCCACACUGGGACUGAGAUACGGCCCAG